UUAUAUACUGAAUAGUUUGUACUUUUUUUUUUUUAACUUUUUUUUUUUUUUUUUUCCUGAUGACAUUAUGGUUAAAAACACAGACUUUGGAGUUAGAACAACUGGUGCUCCAGGCCCUACCCUCUUACUCACCAGCUAUGUGUCCUUAUGGAAAUUGCUUGUUAUAAACGAUUUUAAUAACCAUACCUAUCUAAUAGGAGUACUUUGGUAUGGCUUUAGGAACAUACUUUUUCUAAUAGUGUUGGUCCUCAACGCUGUACCCCGUGCUGAGGAGUAUGGAAAGAUUAGCUCCUAGCCCUGGCAGGCUAAAUCCAUUGGAGGAGUCAGGUUAAAAAUCUCACACAAGAGAUGGGUACCAAAGUGUCACUUGAACUUGAUCGAAUAUUUAAGAAGAUCCUAUAACUUUAACAACAUUAGAAAAUGUUACCACCCUUUUUCCCCACCGUACAUGUUAGACUCAAUGUGGGAGAUAUGGUAGUGCAGUGUUUUCUAAUUUUGUUAAAAUCCUAAGUCAUUCAAAUCAGUUUGAUGAUAAAUAAUAAUAAUUAGAAGAUUUAAAGUGAUCCAAUCAAAAUGACUCAAAAAAGGAGGAAAAUUACUUUUGAAUGCCUCAGUGUCGUUUUCCUUAGAACAUUAUAUCAUUUUCAUCCAUUUAAAAAAACAUUUUGUGGGAGCAGAGUUGAGUCCUUUAAAAUGUGAUGUUUGUCCUGGCCUGUAAUGAACAAGGAUGUAAAACAUACACUCUGCCCUCCCUUAGGUUGUUUUGCCACCACUGCAACCCCUGGCAAGCUGGUCUUCCUUCCCCUCUCUUCUGAUGUCAUUGCUGUUCUAAGAGAACAUGCUGGAAGAAUACACUAUAAAUUUUGGAAUUAAUUAUGCUGGAAGUUGUAUUUUAAAAGGAGUUUACCCUCUUUUAUACUCCUUAUGGAAUGACUCGGGUGGAACAUAAUGAACUACACCUCCUGUAUGUCUCUACAAAUAGAAGGCAGUUCUUAACAUUUAUAUGAGACAGCAGGAGCCUGGACAUGACCUCAUUUCAAUCCAUUAGACUAUUUGAGGAAAAAACAACAAAACUUUCCCACUUAUUGACAGGUAAAGUUAUCCCAAUCCAUUUCUCAUAGCCAGUAAGAAGAUGAACUGUGCUUAAAUGCAUUUUAAAAUUGGCA
This is a non-coding RNA of Chlorocebus sabaeus (green monkey), 1166 nucleotides long. Lineage: Eukaryota; Metazoa; Chordata; Mammalia; Primates; Cercopithecidae. The record is from RefSeq and is a predicted model, not a curated record.